RNAcentral lists this unclassified non-coding RNA (705 nucleotides) under Hevea brasiliensis (rubber tree). Lineage: Eukaryota; Viridiplantae; Streptophyta; Magnoliopsida; Malpighiales; Euphorbiaceae. The record is from RNAcentral.
GAAAAAUCCAUAGCAGUGUUGAUAAAUUUAGCUUCAAGUAAAUCAGGAAAAGAUGAAAUGGUCGCAGCCCCUGGUCUUAUCAGUGGGCUAGCAACAAUAUUGGACACGGGUGAACCCAUUGAGCAGGAGCAAGCUGCCUCAUGCCUUUACAUUUUGUGCAACGGCAGUGAAAAGUGCAGUCAAAUGGUCCUUCAAGAAGGGGUUAUACCUGCAUUGGUCUCUAUCUCAGUAAAUGGUACCACAAGAGGGAAAGAUAAGGCACAGAAACUUCUAAUGCUAUUCCGGGAGCAACGGCAACGGGAUCAACCUCAACCACCUGCUGAGGUGCGCUUUCAACGGGCUGAAAGUAGUUCCAAGGCAAUGCCAAGUCAGGAAUCAAAGCCACUAUGUAAAUCGGUCUCCAGGAGGAGGAUGGGGAAAGCUUUUAGUUUUUUUUGGAAGAGCAAGAGCUAUUCAGUUUACCAGUGUUAAAACUUGGUCUUGUAAAUUUCUACUGUAUCUUCUAUUUUCUCUUUUUCUUUUGUCCUGUCUCCCAUGGGCAUUAUUUAAUUUUGUCUUCCUAGAGAAGAAGAGAUGUACAGGCCCAUGUAAGCUCUGGAUUUUUCACCCUUUUUUGUGCCUUUCCUUUUCUGGGUAGCGAAUACUUGUACCGUGUAUGCCAUUGUAAGUGGAACCCUAGUUGUUUCAACAUGAAGUUUAAUCUAC